This 247-nucleotide ribosomal RNA is filed under the name uncultured bacterium. Its description in RNAcentral is "partial 16S ribosomal RNA". It matches the Rfam family "Bacterial small subunit ribosomal RNA", at positions 523 to 769 of the family's 1533-position model. The record is from RNAcentral.
AUACGUAGGGAGCAAGCGUUGUCCGGAUUUACUGGGUGUAAAGGGUGCGUAGGCGGCUUUACAAGUCAGGCGUGAAAUUCAGAGGCUUAACCUCUGAACUGCGCUUGAAACUGCUUGGCUUGAGUGAAGUAGAGGCAGAUGGAAUUUCCAGUGUAGCGGUAAAAUGCAUAGAUAUUGGAAGGAACACCGGUGGCGAAGGCGAUCUGCUGGGCUUUAACUGACGCUGAGGCACGAAAGUGUGGGGAGC